Long non-coding RNA from Leopardus geoffroyi (Geoffroy's cat), 463 nucleotides. RefSeq lists it as uncharacterized. The transcript is spliced from 3 exons. NCBI's taxonomy places the organism in Eukaryota, Metazoa, Chordata, Mammalia, Carnivora, Felidae. The record is from RefSeq and is a predicted model, not a curated record.
GGCGUCAGUGAACAUGAAUACCUCUGGGGCGAAAUCAAGGUGAAAUCUGCAGGGCUCUGAUGACGCUGCGGUGGCUGCUGGAUUGUUCAGUAUUGGAAUCUGCUGAGUUUGUCUGCAAAGCAGGUCACUUUGAACUGCAGUUGCUUCAACUGAGCGGCUGCUGCGGCUGGCCCCUGCUUUUCUUCUUUGUCCCCAGCCAUCUCUGCAUGUCUCAGCUUUGUGGGCUGGGUUGAGUGAAACCGAAGUAGGACAUUUGUGCCCUGUCCCAAAAGGCUGAGAAAGCUGCUGGCUCACUCUGCUCUUCCUUUCCUGGAGUCAAUACCGAGUUUCAAGCGACAGAAGAAGCGACCUGUAUGAAUUUUCUGCAUGAAACAACUCUAGGCUCUUACUGAAGUCUCCUCCAGUUUUCCUAAUUUGAUUGUGCUGUUUCCUGCUGGGACCCAGACUGAUAGAGGGGGCCUUA